GACAGAGGUCCCAAGCGUUAGGCGGAAUCACUGGGCUUAAAGCGUGUGUAGGCGGAUUUGUAAGUACCUUGUGAAAUCCCACGGCUCAACCGUGGAACUGCUUGGUAUACUGCUUAUCUUGGGCCAUCUAGGGGCGAGCGGAACAAACGGUGGAGCGGUGAAAUGCGUAGAUAUCGUUUGGAACGCCAAUGGUGAAAACAGCUCGCUGGGGAUGUGCUGACGCUGAGACACGAAAGCCAGGGGAGCAAACGGG
RNAcentral lists this ribosomal RNA (253 nucleotides) under uncultured bacterium. Its description in RNAcentral is "partial 16S ribosomal RNA". It matches the Rfam family "Bacterial small subunit ribosomal RNA", at positions 524 to 776 of the family's 1533-position model. The record is from RNAcentral.